GUGAAGAUGGUUUAAACUGAUAAAAAAUUGGUAUUUCCAUUGGUAUACAAACCUAUUGAAUUUUCUUUGAUGUUGCCGGUGUCAACUGCAUUUGUUGAGAGAGCAUUCUCAGCAAAGAAGAUUAUCAAGAAUAAGUUGUGUAGCAAGAUCAACAAUGAAUGGUUCAGUGACUUGAUGAUAUGUUACACCAAGCGGGAGCUAUUCAAGUCAGUCGAUGAUAAGGAUAUUAUUUGAACAUUCACAUCACUGAAGUCUCAGAAAGGACAUUUGCCUUGUGAUUUUGUUUAA
RNAcentral lists this ribosomal RNA (288 nucleotides) under Triticum aestivum (bread wheat). RNAcentral describes it as "partial small subunit ribosomal RNA". The record is from RNAcentral. Lineage: Eukaryota; Viridiplantae; Streptophyta; Magnoliopsida; Poales; Poaceae.